GGGUAGUUUGACUGGGGCGGUCUCCUCCCAAAGAGUAACGGAGGAGCACGAAGGUUAGCUAAUCCUGGUCGGACAUCAGGAGGUUAGUGCAAUGGCAUAAGCUAGCUUGACUGCGAGCGUGACGGCGCGAGCAGGUGCGAAAGCAGGUCAUAGUGAUCCGGUGGUUCUGAAUGGAAGGGCCAUCGCUCAACGGAUAAAAGGUACUCCGGGGAUAACAGGCUGAUACCGCCCAAGAGUUCAUAUCGACGGCGGUGUUUGGCACCUCGAUGUCGGCUCAUCACAUCCUGGGGCUGAAGUAGGUCCCAAGGGUAUGGCUGUUCGCCAUUUAAAGUGGUACGCGAGCUGGGUUUAGAACGUCGUGAGACAGUUCGGUCCCUAUCUGCCGUGGGCGCUGGAGAAUUGAGGGGGGCUGCUCCUAGUACGAGAGGACCGGAGUGGACGCAUCACUGGUGUUCGGGUUGUCAUGCCAAUGGCAUUGCCCGGUAGCUAAAUGCGGAAAAGAUAAGUGCUGAAAGCAUCUAAGCACGAAACUUGCC
Molecule: ribosomal RNA, 536 nt
Filed under: Klebsiella ornithinolytica
Lineage: Bacteria; Pseudomonadati; Pseudomonadota; Gammaproteobacteria; Enterobacterales; Enterobacteriaceae
Description: partial 23S ribosomal RNA
Rfam family: Bacterial large subunit ribosomal RNA
Source: RNAcentral